Molecule: long non-coding RNA, 35709 nt
Filed under: Eucalyptus grandis
Lineage: Eukaryota; Viridiplantae; Streptophyta; Magnoliopsida; Myrtales; Myrtaceae
Description: long non-coding RNA (EGRA_LNC001735)
Source: RNAcentral
CCAAAAAAAAAAAAAAAAAAAACCUCUUCAUAAAUAAUAAUCCUACAAAAUAUCCCAUUCUUUAUUUUCGAUGUGUCUUCUUCUAUCAGAGAAGUGAAAACAAACGGAAGUGAUUCCUAAUCUUAAAGAUGAGGAGAGGAGUAUUUGCUCCUCAUACUUGAACCUGACUGGUCGAAUCAAGAUUUUCCAUCCAUAAUUUUGUAUUUAAACAAAUAUCCAAUCUAUUUCAAAUGUGAAUUAGAUGCAUGUCAAUUUAAUUUUUGUAAUUGACUAUUUUCCAAAUAAUAAAUUUAAACUCAUGAAUGCAUCUCUUAUAUGGCUUUUAAAAAAAAAAAAAAAAAAAUCUCAAUUUCAAAUUAUCUGGAUUUUGGAAAAGCUAUUGUCAUUUUCACUUUUUGGCAAAACAAAUUUGCUUCAAAUGUUAUAAGAUACAUCUAUAUGGGCCAUAUAGCAGCACCAUUAUGCUCCGUGACGAUAACCAAGGUAAAGUCAGUUGUCACAUGGUGAGCAUAGGUGCGAACUUUCUUUUAACUCCACCGAUCAAGUAAACCACCUAAGUGCAACUAAUCUUUUUAUUUUUCAGCCAAAAUUUCGAUUUAGAUGGACCCGAACAUCGUCUUUUGCAAGAGCCGUAACUAUCCCUCCCUCGGAGACCCUAUCCGAUAAGAUUUUUCUAGUACUUUUUCCCUAAACGCAAGCGUGAUCAUUAGCUAAGGAGAGUCCAUAGUUUUUACCUUAGUGGUUUUGCAAGAUUAACAAUGUUUAUGGACAAUGAGUAUGCGGUAUCGGGUACAUUGCUAGUGCCCGACUUUAGGUGUGGUCAAAGUGGUGUCCAAAAUCAAGAACACUGAUUAGACUAGUCCACCACUAAUGAGCAACUUGAACAAAGUUAGAAAGUAAAUCGGUCAAUUGACUUAGAAACCCUAAUGAGUACUUGAAAGAGGCAUAAGUUUGGACGACACUAAAAAGAUGUGAUUAGACCCAUAUCAAAUUCUCGACGGAGUCUUCUUUCCCUUUAAAUCGCUGACGCAGUAGUCCAAUUACCUCGAGCCGUCCUAUGUGGCAUAUUGUCACAUCAACAAUUUCCGGUAAAAAUCGCCUAGAAGGAAUACAUUGAAAUUUUGCACAAAAGUUUAAGACUAAAUUGAUAAGAUCGGAAAGUUUAUGAUUGAAUAAAUAUCUGUACAAUAAGUUUAGGAUUGAUUGGAUAAUUUCCCCAUAAAUAUAAAGACUACUAGGGGUUUAUAAGAUGCUGCAAAUAAUUAUCUUGACUAAGGUCGACUGUCGGCAAUGACAAAACUAAGGUCGACUAUCAGUGAUGACGACCCGAUGCAGUGUGACACUAUCGAUCUCUUAUUUUUUUAUAAGAAAUUAGUUUAUUUUCCUGUCCUUAAUUAAACGAUGGCCUACAAUUUGUAAUAAAAAGAAGAAAGGGAUCCCCCGAUAAGAUGCUUGAGCUCAUGGAUGUUAUAUUCUCAAGAAUACUAACUAUCACUUUUGUGGUAACAAUUGGAUGCUAAGGAAGGAGUUUCGGUAAAGAGUAGCUAGACCAAAUCCUCCUCAAGCAUUGGCCGACUCGUUUGAUCUCAUCCCAAAUUGAAUUUGAAUCCCCUUUUGGAAAAGGCCUUAAGAUAUUAAAUUCGAUAUGUAUAAAUAUAAAUAUAUAUAAUCACAAUCCCGAUUAAAAAUCAUACGGUCGCACCUUUUCGAGGGGGUGGGGGGAGACACAGAGAGACAAUAAUGCACUUAAUUUCGGAAUUAUCUCCCAAUAAUUGCCUCAAUAGAAUACUAGAAAGUGAGAUUAAUUAAUUAACGUAAAGAGAUAUUACAACCGAAAAGAGAAGGAAAAAACAAUACAAAAAAAAUAAAUAACGAUAAAAAAAGAGGAAACUAAUCCCAAAAAAAGGGAAUUUCCUCGGGAUAUGGUUCUCCUCCAUGUAGUAUUUUGCUUUUCGAUUUCUGAUGAAGUUAACUUUUCUUUUUGGGCCAAAAGUCUACCCAAAUACGGCGUCGCAAAAGCAGCCAAAAUGCAGGACCACCUUAUUUUCGUAGACUUCCGCACACGAAAAGAAAACCCCGUCCAGCCCACGUCUCCCUCCCUUUUUCCUCGGGCCCCACCUUUUCUUCCGCUGGUCAAAGGGAGAGAAAAAAAAACGAAGACGAAAUUACGAAAAGGACCCGGAGCCAGUCAACGGUCAGCGCCACGCGUCGGGAUGCCCCCUCCGGAUCAGGGCUUGGAGAUGGAGGCCGCGUCCUUGGCGUCGACGCCUCCUCCGGCGGCCGCGCCGCCGGCCAGCGCGGCGGACUGGACGGUCAGGGCGGACACGCUCGGGGAGGUGGGGCCGUCGCCGGGGCCCUGGUGGUGGUGGUGGUGGUGGUGGGCGGAGGGGGAGGGGAGGGGGAUGCGGGACUGGCAGGUGGCGGUGGAGAUGGCGGUGGCGAGGGAGAUGGGCAUGAGGCAGAGGCCCUUCCCCUGCAGGUACUGCAUCGCCGACCCCAUGUCCUCCUCCAUGAGCUUCGCCACCUGGUGCUCCGAAACCGUCAGGCUGUCCCCGGAGGCGCCGCCGUUGGAGCUGCUCCGCCCGCUGCCGUUCGCCUGAGAACCGUCGCCGCCACCGCCUCCCUGCAGAUAAGACAAGGAAGAGACCCCGAUUCAAUCUCUCAUAAUUAUAUCUCAAAAACGCAUACAGAAUUCACCAAAAAGAGGACAAGGGAGGGGACAGGGAAGUGGGGAAAAGAGGUAAGUCGGAAAGUGGGUCGAGAGCGAUUUUUCUAUAAUUUCCCAUCGAGAGAGAGAGAGAGAGAGAGAGACAGCGAGAGAGUGGAAUCUGAAAAAGGAGGCACGCGUGCUGCUUUGGUUUUGUCGUCUUGUGUUGAUUGAGGAAUUUCGGGGGUACUUUUGAAUUAGUUUUUUCUAUUGGAGUAUGAGUAGCCCGUGUUUUGGUGGUACCUCAGAGGACAUAUCGGCAACGAGAGGCGCAACGGCAGCCGCACCGCCCAGCCUGCUCAUACUCAGCACCUGUGCCAAAACGAAACACACGGAGAGAGAAAAAUCAGCAGCUCAUCCAUGUUCUUCAUAAGCUCAUACGCCAUACGGAGAUGGAGUGGCUCUUGGCUACUAAUAUUCAAUUCACGGUAUUGAUUAUGUCCCUAACAACAAUGUCAACGAAGGGAAUCAUUCCCUUUUUUUAAUGCGAGAGAGAGAGAGAGAGAGAGAACCUUGACUUGAAGCUGGAGGAAUUUCACAUAGUCGAUAAUCUCAUCCAGCAUUGAUGCCUUGUCCGUCUGUCAUUCCCCAAGACCAGCACCGCCCCAUCGGGAACACCCCCAAGACAAAACAAGAAAAGGUUAGAAUUUCCCCCAUAAUGAAAAACUGAUCUUCUUCGAAAUGGAAUAACUGAACUGAACACAAUUCAUGGCCAGAGCAGAGCCUCUCUGACUAGCGGUUACAGAGUUCCCAGAUGGGAACUGAGGAAAAGAAGGGGAAUCUUCAUGGUAAUGAGCAAACCGAAUAAACAAAUGAUUUAGGGUAUUUUUAAAACAUCAUAUAAAAAUGGGGAAACAUCAGAAGACAAUAAAUGCAACAGGCAGUGGAAUUAAAUGAAGCUUCUUGCACCUUGUUGGCAUUGGGAACCAGCUCCUGCAGCGCCUUCAUUCUCUCCGCUAUCCUCUCUCUCCUCAGCUGCAACCCCACCACCACACAAUUCCAAUUUUAGGAACUCGAUAAGUACAAAACCCAGAAAUUAUUUUAAAAAAUAAAUGUGGGGAAAAAAAAAAUUUUGAGCAGGCCCCCAAAAAAAUAAAAAUCAUGUCUUUUUCGCAAGAACAAAUUGGAUUAGUUGGAGCGCACUCUUUCAGCAAUACUGUGAGGAUCGGUGGCUUGGCCUCUCCUCGCCCUCACUCUCUGCCUCGGCUGGCCCGGCGCGGCCGCAGUGCCCGCGGUGCCGCCCGACCCGCUCGCCGCCGCCGCCGCCGCCUGAGCGCUGAAAUUCGGUGACGCUUGCAUUGAUCCCCCCUGUGAUGAUUUCCCAGAACAGAUUGUCAGAAAGUUAUGCCCCCAAAAAGAAGAGGAAAAAACCAAGUGGGGGAAAAAGAUAACGUAAAGAAAAGGGGGAAAUGCCUGAGGUAGAGAAAAAUGCUGUGAAUGGUUCGAAGUUUGGCCAUUGCCAUGCAGAGAUCCGGCGAAGCCAUUGAACAGAGCUUGAACUGAGCUGUCACCUCCCUGCGAUCAAAACCCACCCACUUCACUGUAAUUUCAACUUCUAUGAAACAUUCGAACCAUCGUGCUUUUUCUUAUUAAAAAAUUCAAACUUUUUUUAAUGGAUUACAGAGCACUUGAAAUUUGACCCGCACUAACACUCUAAAAAAUUUUCAAAACAACAAAAGCAAAAAUGGCAUCCCGAAAAGUUUUACCAGAUUCGCAGACUUGAAAUGGGAAGACGACGGCGACCCGUCGCCUCCGGCCAUCAACAUCUGCUGCAGCAUCAUCGCCUUGGCGGCCGCGGCCGCGGCCUGAGCGCCCCCUCCGCCGCCUCCACCGCCGCCGCCGCCGAUCUGGUGCUGCCUCAGCUUCGCGGCCAGGACCGUGGCCUCGUCCAGGCCGUGGAAGCCGACGUCCUCCGACAGGUCGACGGUGACGUCGCCGUUCUGGCCCAUGGGGAGGUGGUGGGCCGCGGCGGGGUCGCCGCCGGUGCCGAGGUGGUCGGCCCAGGAGGGGAUCCCGGAGAACAUGUGGUCGAGGAAGUCGUCGCCGGAGGAGGAGGAGGGGUCGAAGUGGUGGUGGCCGGCGCCGGCGCCGCCGCCGCCGGCCUGGAUCUGGCCGUGGUGGGGGUGGCUGCCGUUGCUGCCCUGGAGGUCGUGGAGGGAGACCUGCUGAGGGUUCAGCAGGGAGCUGAGGGUCUGCAUCUCUCUGCUGCAGGGCUGCAUGCUGGAAGAAGGAGAAGGAGAAGGAGGAGGAAGAGAGAGGAAGAGAGAGAAAGAGAAGGGAAUGGAUGUGAGAGAGAGCGAGAGGUCUUCUUCUUCUUCUUCUCCUUCUUCUUCUACUUCUUCUACUUCUGUGUUGUUUGGAUUUAGUGGUUGGAGUGAUCUGGGGAAGUGAAUCUGAAGGAGAGAUGAUGUUGGCGUUUCAGUUUUUUUCUGGGGGGUGUGUGCGUGUGUUUUCCCUUUUUAUGCAUUUGAGUUGAUUUUGAGUGUGCUAGUUGUCCACAGCGCGUGAAGCGGACGAGCGAACCUGAAUUUAAAAAAAAAAAUUAUAUUGAAUUUUAUGGAGAAAAGGGUAUGGGAAAAAGGAAAAAAAAAAAAAAAAGGGAAUAUUACGGGGGAUCUGAUUAUAACUGCUAAUUGGGUUUGUUUUGGGGGAGGAGACCAGGUCAAAUUGGAUAGGGAAGUUAACUGCCUAUCUAAUUAUCUAUUGUGUGAAGUCACUAUGAUCUAACGAUUCAUGUAAAGUGAAUUCAUAUAGAUUAAGAGUAUCUAGAAAAAUGUCGGAAUUUUUCAUAAUAGCACUUCGGAAUAUGAUUUAGGCGAAAAUCCACGACUAGUGGGUAAGUUGCCGUAAUUGUUGUGGACAAUUUUUUUUUUCCCUCAUUUUUAUUUCCUUUGUGUGGUGUGGCUGAAGGCUUCUGUAAGAGAUUGAGAAGCUCUCAACACACGGAAAUGCGAAUCGUUGGAAUCCUACCUAAAUUUGUUUUCUAACACCAAUCAGAAAAGACGAUGUAAAUCCCUUCUUGAGGAAAGGGUAGCGAGGUUCAGACAAGCUCCUGUGUAUCUUUUCGAUCGCGUUCUUUAGAUUUUUAAUUUGUUUAAUCAAGAUUUUGAGGUUGGUUGACUUUUCUAAUCAAGCAUCUUUAGCUCCGGUUCUAACUACUGGAAGAUUAAAAUAUAUGGUAUAGUCGGUGAGAAUCCAAACUAGAAAAUUCAAGUGCAAUGUUUCUGUUAAAAGUUCUCUUUGCUUUAAGGUUUUUGGUUAUAGCUUUUCACUUUUAAGAUUUAAUCGCAUGCAUCCGUUAACCAUUCCUAAUACCAAAAAGUUCUUCCACAUCAUACUCUUGUCAGUUCCAAUGUACAUCCCAACUCUGAUUACUUUAAAUUGGAGUCGAGUAUUAAAUUAGAACAUUAUACAAAUUCAGUGACUUGAUAUGACAAAUUAAAAGUUCAAAGUACUCAAUUGAAGUUAAUGGAUUAUCCUAGGAUUAAAAGAGAACCUUUACCUAUAAUUUAUCCUAGCGUUAAACCCAAUUAGAUUCGCGGUAUCAAAUGCCACCGACAUUUCCAUGAGAUUUGACCACAGGAUCAUUUAGGCCUGCCUAUUUUUCUUGGCUACAAGAUCAUUUAGACCAGCUUAGGUCCUCCGUCUUCUAUUGAACUUCAUAACGUGCGCUUCAACAAUCGGUCAAGCCCUCAAUUUAUGGGUUCUGUCCCUAAAAUACAAGAAUCUGCUCAGCCCAAAACCUGAAAAGGAUGGAACCAUCCGCAAGCAAGUCUAAUCCCAUUCAACACGACUCGUGAGCUUUCUACACGUCCAGUUUCACCAUCACACGGAGUUUCCUUUUUCGUAACCUCAUUCUCAUCUGGCAGAGAGCUUCCUAUAACAUAAAGCUGUCGUCUUGAAUCUGUCUCCCCAGCACGAAAGCACUUUGCAUUGGUACAAUCGACUGUGACAUCAUGGGCUGCCAAUGAUCUGUCAACACUUCAGCAAAUUACUUUGCAAGCAAGAUUGCAUAAAGUAAAUCGGUCUAAAUUGAAGUAUUAUCUCCAAGGAAGCGACUUCCGGGACCAGAGCAAUCGCAAUUGUCAAGAAUUCUGUUCCUUUUACGAAGUAUUUAGUGUUCCAAUCACCUGCUUUCAAUUAGCAAGCAUGGGAUCUUUGGUGCUUAAUGUUGUUCUGCGGUCACCAUAAUUGAUCGAUUCUGGCCUUGGUAGCUUUCUGUCUGUCUUGAUCAAAGGGGCCUGACGUGCUGUUUCCCACGUUAGUUAAACUGCUGCUGAAACUGCUCCAUUCUGCUGCUGAAACUGCUCCAUUUCCUCUUUCGCAUUCACCUGCUCCCAGCAGAUAAAGCUAGGAAGACUUUCCUGGACCAUUACUGGGAUCUGAAGCUGAAGUCCAUUCUAUGUCAACAAUGCCAGAACAUCCCUCAUCAUCUUGCUAAAUAGCUUCAAAGCGAAAUCCUCGUCCCCCUCUUAUGCGUUCAACCGUAGCGGUGAUAGUGGAGGGUUGUGAUCUGAGUGAAUUGCACGGCUAACUCAAACUCAAACAAGUUCUCCAAUCGAUUGUUCCAGUGCAUUUGCAACUCCAUCUUUAUUAUUUGACCCGGUGAAAACAUACCCUUUAUUUUCAAGAUCCAUCGAAUGGCAAUCGUCCAGAAAUUUCGUUUCAAUCAGAAAAAGAACACUGGGCCCAAGCUGAACCAUGAGGUUCUCAAGUUCUUGAAUUCUUAAGAGAUUGCCCAGCCCUUGACAGUUCUCAACCUAUCAGACUAACGAAUGCUAUGGCGGCUGUUUCGGGCCAGCCGCCUCAUCCCAUCUAUAAGUGUUAACUUCAACGAGAUCGGAGUUUCAGUAAGUGUCGAGCCAUCCAGGCCCCAGGGAAUUCUCCUGAUGUUCCAACACCAUAAGGCUCAAAUCACUGUUUGUUCCUUGUGGUUCCCAAGUUGUUUUAUUCAGAAGCCUUUUUCUCAGGACCCAAAGGAUCCUUGCCCUUUCUGGAUCCAAGCUUUUGUUAGUUUCUUUAAAGCCUACGCCUGUUUCCUGGGCCCCAAAGGAUCCCUGCCCAGAAGAGGCAGACGCCUGGCCAGUGGGCUCGAAGGGAACGAUUCCCAUUUCCAUGUCUUCUUCCUCAUCUACUGGAUUACCUCCACGAAACUCUUCACCGUGAAAAACAUUCCAGAAGGCUUGAACUCCCCAAAUUCUACUUUCAACCACGUCCCAUUUUCACAAUCUUCCUCCUGUAUCUUUGAAAUGCUCGCAACAUCUGGUAUAAUGGACGAUUUUCCACUAACAUAACCAAAGAAAUCUUUCAUGCUAGAAAUCAAUCCACACAUUAUCACCUCCCUCACUAGACAAGACACAUGACCUCAAGGACAAUGCCAGAUCGUGAUCGACUUUAACCCGAGCAACACAUACAUCGAACCUCUCUUUUAAGAUAGAAACAUAUAAAACCUCAUGAUUCCGUAACUAGGUACAUGCAACAGCUUGAAACAUUUGCAGUAAGGGAAGUCUUAAUUCAUAUUUCUAAGUGGACAUUGUCCAAUAACAUACUCACCAGGCCACUCAUCAAAAUACACUCGUACAUAUAUGUACCUUAUUUCGUCCCAACAUUUGGGGGAGGUUGAUGCAAAAGAACUUCAAGAACGGAAGCGAAUUGGAGCUAUUUUCAUAGCGACGUACUCUCUAAAACUAGUCAUUAUCUACGCUUUAUUACUAAGUUUUUUAGCCCAUGGUGUAAGAAGGGGUAGGCAGAUUGAUGACGGUGCUCUUGACCUUAGUCAUCAUAUUGAUGCUGUUUGUGACUCCCUGUGAACCUAUUCCACUGUCCUUCAAACCCUGCACCAUCAAGCAUUUCAGCAGUCAUUUCUUCUGUGCUCGCAGAAAAAAAUAUUGAUAUGGUAUUUACAAUGUGAUAGAAAUCUUAUAAGAUGCUUAUGAUUUUCAAGUUUACCUGGAAAGGGAAAUGGUCUGGCCCUCGAGCCGGGGCAGAGUUAAUUUGAACUGAACCGGUCUCCAUUGCGUCGCUGAUCAACAUUGCCUUGUUGAUGUCGCGCGUGAAGACACAACCCUGCAAUUUUUAAGGCAUUUUAUUACUACUGGGAAGAAAGAAAUUUUGUUAGACUGUUAUCUAUAAGAAGACAUGAUGAUGUCUCCAACAGGAUGCUUUUCUCUGAUUUCAUCCAACUGUGGCUUUUGGAAUUUCGUGGAAACCAUAAGUGUAACUAGUAACACAUUUAGAUAGGUAGCUUAGUGAUAGCACAUUUAGACAGGUAGCUUAGUGUACCUCGACACACAAGUAAUGCUGUGUACGUACUUCUUUUCUUCAUUUGAUUUUAAUUCGUUAUCCUGUGGCUGCUUAUAAUUUGACAAGAGUGCAAGGGAUUGUCGCAGAUACCAGAUUAAAUCAUACCUGGAGACCGAAAUUGCUGGCAUUACAAUGGUUAAUCCCUUCUUCGACAGAGUUGAUCCUGAUGACUGGCAAGAUUGGCCCGAACGGCUCCUCCCACGCGAUCCUCAUGUCGGGCCUGACGUUAUCCAACAGCACUGGCCAUAUGAGGUUGCCUUCUCUCUUGUAUGGCUGGCAGAAGGUUGCGCCCUUCUCCUUGGCGUCCAUCACCAGCCCCUCGAUGAAGUUGGCAGACGAUUCUGAGACGACCGGUGUUAUGUCACGGUUGUCCUCGGGCGGCCCCACGGUUAGUUUCGCCACUUUGGCAUUCACCUUUUGAACCAAAGUGUCCGCAAUGGAGUCCAUCACCAGGACGACUUUCACCGCUGUGCAUCUUUGACCGCUGUUGUGGACAAGGAGAGUAUGAAUACGGGUUAGUGUCCGCAGCGGGUAACAGAUUUUGCGGAUGAUGUGAGCAACCGUCAAUUUUGGUGGCCUUAAGGGAAAGAGUAUAACUAUGAAGGAAGUUAUGAAUGCUUGCAGAUCACUUGGGUCACCUGUAAGAAAAGCCUCCUUUCACGAUGUUGGCAGCUGCCAAGUCGAUGUCGGCAUCUUCAAGCACAAUGCAAGCAUCUUUGCCACCCAACUCCAUCUGAAGAGGAAUCAUGCCGGCCUUCUUUGAAAUGGCAACUCCAGUGUCUCCGCCAGUGAAGCUGAAUAGGAAAAGGCAAUUCAUGUUAGUAAUCACAAACCUUGCAAGAGGCAAAGAGAUCAUAAAUAGCGAGAAGAUGGCCGCAAGAAUUACCUUAUGCAGUUCACCCCCGGAUGCAUAGUAAGAAAGUCACCGAUUUCAGAGCCUUUUCCGGUGACGCAGCUGAUGAGACCUUUGGGAAAACCAGCUAAGUGAAAGCAGUGCACCAUGUGAAGGCAAGAUACAGCACCCUACAAGGAGUUAUGUACAGUUUUCAGGAUAGCCAAAUUGAUCAGGAUCUAACAGAAGAAAAAAGAAACGCAAAUUUUAAUGGGAGGCUCAGAAGAGUAAACGCAAGGCCUGUAGUAUGCAAAAGUUUCUACUCCUCACGCACGCAUAACAAUACACACUGAGACACAAACUCACAAAUGAGAACAUGCACAGGACUGAAUGGGCUACAAUAGGCGCGGCCAAUAGCAUGAAACUGAGUAUCCACCAUAAUUAGAGCUUCUUUAGUUAAUAAUUAGUGAAAGUAACACGGCAAGAACAUACCUGGGUGGGAGGCUUUAGAACAAGAGAGUUUCCAGCAAUCAGAGCAGGGCCAAUCUUUGAGACAGCCAGGUUAACUGGGUAGUUAAAUGGUGGAAUGGCUAACACUACGCCAAGUGGAACCUGCAGUUCAAAACAAAAACAUUUGAAGCACGUCACAAAUCAUUUCGACCAUUAGAAGCCAAACAUCUUCUGCUCUCUCUCUCUCUCUCUCUCUCUCUCUCUCUCUCUCUCUCUCUCUCUCUCCCGUGCCCACACCCACACACAGACAUGGACGGUAGCAGAUCUAAGAUACGGAAGCACAUGGAUUGGAUGGCCUAAAAUUUCUGCUGAUCUUCCUCUAACAGUCAAAAAGGGAAUGCAAAAAGCAACGCUGUUGCUCCUGCUGCUAUGUUCGCCCUUCAUGUUGGGCUAAUAAGACAAUUCAUGUUCAUGUUUUCUCCUAAGUAUCAUAUACUUCAGAGAUUCAAUGGCCAAAUUCAUCUUUGCAGUGCCUGUUUAGGUUCUUUUCACAACUUAAGUUUUCUGGACAACUGCUAUCUAAUAUGGAACUGGGGCAUAGGUCAUCUGUUCAAGUCUGGCAUUACCUCUAGAUUGUUUUGUCCGUUACUCUCAUCAUUGUUCCAUAUUUUUUUUCCCAUUUGCUCUACAUUCACAUCAUACAUUUCCGGCUGAAAGAUGACGAUUAACAUAAAUUUGAUACACAUUGUUAGCCUGCUACUAAAUAACCUAACAAAAUAUUUAGGCUAAAAGAAGGCCACACAGAAAUGUUUGUUUAAAAAUGUGACUUCACCUAAUAUUGGGAUCUCUAUUUGUGAUACUAAGGAAACUAAUGCAAGAAGCGGCGCCGGUUGCAAGCUAAUAAUAAAUAGGUGGACCCUUUCUUUCUUUUGGUAAAAAUUUUAUAGGUGGACCUUACCAAACUUUAUCACUUUUCACUGAGUAAUGGAGGGCACUUGAUCAAGUAAAUGGCCACACCGAAAUGUUUGUUUAAAAAUGUGACUUCCCCUAAUAUUGGGAUCUCUAUUUGUGAUACUAAGGAAACUAAUGCAAGAAGCCGGUUGCGAGCUAAUAAUAAAUAGAUGGACCCUUUCUUUCUUUUGGUACAAAUUUUAUAGGUGGACCUUACCAAACUUUUAUCACUUUUCACUGAGUAAUGGAGUGCACUUGAUCAAGUAAAUGGCAUAUAACCAAGAGAAAUUUUACCUUAGAAGUGAGGCAGUACUUGGUCCUCUCGUUUCCAGGAAAACUGUCGGAGACCAGGAACGACCCCUGUCCCAGGAUUCUAACUCCUUCCUCAGCGCAAUAUGAGAUCAGAUCACCAGAUCUCACAACCUUGAUUACAUCCAAAAAAAUGGCAUAAAUCCAGUUAGUCUCAUCGCAAAAAAGCAGGAUUAAUGUAUGAGACAUUCUCUUUCUCCGUAUACCUCAGUGACCGAAUCUUUGGCUGGUUUGGCAAUUUCCUUCACAAGGCACUCGGCGAUGGGAGACUUGUGCUCCUUGAGGAGCGCGGCAGCCUUGUGAAGGAGCUCGGCCCGCUUCCAGAGCGGAGUCUUUGCCCAGGCCUUCUGUGCGCUCUUGGCUAUAUCCAUCACCUUGUUCACCUCCUCUUGUGUACAAGCUGUACAAACACACCAUCACAAAAGCCAAUUCACAUUACAAGACCACAUAAUCAAGUCAAGCUCUCGCCCUUUCAAUUGCAAGCAAUUAAUUAAACACCGAUCUCUUAAGUAAAGUAACCCCUUUUAGAAUCGAUUCUGAAGUACUUCCAAGAAAUGCAAGCUCCGUUUCGAGUUUAGUUAGGGGUGAUCGGUGGUCCAAGUUCAGUAAAGUAACCCUUUUUAGAAUCAAUUCAGCAGGAGUACUACCAAGAAAUGCAAGCUCUAUGCCUUAGAUUUAGGUAGGUAUGAACAAUGGUUGGGUUUCAACCCGGAAACCGGCCUCGCUACUCAGUUCGAUGCCAAUUCCGAGAAAGAAACUUAACUGCCAACCGGGUUCGGAUUAGCUUCCUGUUUGAGGGUCGAAACCUGCCAAUUCUACCCUGGAACCGGGCUAACUACGUCAGUUCUUAGGUAGAACCGGCGGCUUUGUCACAGGCCAGAGUACCUUUUUAAAGUAAAUUCGCGCUCUACUAACGACUAAAAACUCGAGGGAAACAAAGAGACCCCACAAUCCCCACGAUGCUAGCGCUUUCCCAAUGCACCCCAGCGGAUGGAACAGGGAGCUUCCACAUCAUAACGCGCAGGACUAAACCGAAGUUUCUGUACUUGUUACCGAACGAGGGGGAGCGAGCAUGGUACCUUGGACUUUGUACUGGGUCUUGCGGGUCGUGGGGUUGACGAUGUUGACGCUCUUGCCGGAGGCCGACUUCCUCCACUCCCCGUCGGAGUAGUACUUGUACACUUCCCCAUCCAAGAUCUCCCCAAACACCCCGGUCCCCGCCAUUGCAGCAGCUCUCUCGUCUCUCCGUGCCACUCAAGGCCUCUUCACUCGGCACACACUCCACGGACAAGGCCACACACCUACUCCCACUUCCCUACCCACAGCGAGAGAGAGAGAGAGAGAGAGAGAGAGAGAGAGAGAGAGGGAGAGGAUUGUGUGGUGAAGUGAAGGUCUGGAGAGGAAAGGAGGGAGUGAUGGGGAAUGAAGUGAUGACUCUUUGCGGGUAUAAAUAGGGGAAAGGUGAGCCACGUUUGGUUUUGCAGUUGGUGGGGUGGUGGUUCAAAGCGUGCCAGGUUAGGCUGGGAGAGCGUUAGCUGCGUCUCCUUCAUUCAUCUGCGCAUGGCAUUGCGUUGGCUUUUUUACGUUUCGUUUUCUUCCACAGGACUUUUAAGCCUUUCUUUCUUUCGUGUUUUUCACUUUCCUUUUGGGAUAUUCCAUGGAGAUCCCCUCCCUCCCCCUUUCCCCAAGGAAACGGGAAGUUUCUUACAGCCUCGUUCUUCCCGCGGCCUCCACCGUUGAAAAUAAAUCUUAUUCUACUUUUUGUCGGGAAGUCAACCAAAUUCUGUUUCUUUUUCCCUUCUUUUCUCGCAUUAAUACCACCGAGAAUUCUAAAUCCAUACGCCUAUAAUAAAUUUAUCUCAAAGUACAUUUGCCACGUAUUUAUCCUCAUUUAGUUUCCAUUUAAUUUUAUCUUCAAAUUGUUAAAUUAGAAUUUUAACGUCCGUUCAUUAUGAAUAUACUAGUUUAUGAUUUUUCGUGAUAUUGAUAUAAUUUAGUAGAAACUGACGGAAGAUAAAUUUAUUAUAAAAAUACUAGUUUGCGGUUUAAAUUUAUUAUAUGUAUACUAAUUUGAAGUUUUUCGUGAUCAAAAAAUUAAUUUAAGAUAAAUCUGUCACAUAUGUAAUAAUUUGAAAUUUUUCAUGAUAUUAACUCUUUUAUUUACAUUGGAGAAUCCAAUAUAAUCAGAAACUUGAAAGAUUACAUUAAACAUACAGAAAUAAUUUAAGGUUCCCAUCAAAAAAAUUAAAACUUCGCGGUGGGCCAAGAUUUAGGGACUAUCAACGUCAUUUUUCUUUCCUUUUCUUUUUGCCGAACAAUUCUUUCACUAGUUACUAGCAAAAAGAAUUUUUAAAAAAAAAACCCGAUAAAUGAAUUUCUAACUGAAUUAAUUGGAUGAUCGAGCGUCAACACACGUGCUAUGUAAUUGAUGCGACGACACUUUCAUAGCCCUCUUUUCUACAGCUUAGCAAACGAAACAGCUGCCGUGAGAAACCUACUUUUGUUAAUGGCCGAAAAAGAAGAUCCUCUCGCAUCUCCCAUAUGACCGGAAUUAAAAUAAUAAUAAAAAGAUACUCGCCCAGACACAGGGAGGCUCGCCGGCCCCCGGCGAGGCCGAGCCUUGCCGUCGUUGGGCGAGGCUUGGCCUCGCCUUGGCUGGGCGAGCCGGAGCUCGCCCAGUUCUGACGAGGCCAAGUGUCGCCGGUGGCUGGGCGAGCUCGGCCUCGCCCAAAUUCGGCGAGGCCGACCCUCGACGGCGUCGCCGGCCCUCAACGGCCAGUCGCUGGCCAUGGCCGAGGACGGAAGAUAAAUUUAUUAUAAAAAUACUAGUUUGCGGUUUAAAUUUAUUAUAUGUAUACUAAUUUGAAGUUUUUCGUGAUCAAAAAAUUAAUUUAAGAUAAAUCUGUCACAUAUGUAAUAAUUUGAAAUUUUUCAUGAUAUUAACUCUUUUAUUUACAUUGGAGAAUCCAAUAUAAUCAGAAACUUGAAAGAUUACAUUAAACAUACAGAAAUAAUUUAAGGUUCCCAUCAAAAAAAUUAAAACUUCGCGGUGGGCCAAGAUUUAGGGACUAUCAACGUCAUUUUUCUUUCCUUUUCUUUUUGCCGAACAAUUCUUUCACUAGUUACUAGCAAAAAGAAUUUUUAAAAAAAAAACCCGAUAAAUGAAUUUCUAACUGAAUUAAUUGGAUGAUCGAGCGUCAACACACGUGCUAUGUAAUUGAUGCGACGACACUUUCAUAGCCCUCUUUUCUACAGCUUAGCAAACGAAACAGCUGCCGUGAGAAACCUACUUUUGUUAAUGGCCGAAAAAGAAGAUCCUCUCGCAUCUCCCAUAUGACCGGAAUUAUAAAAAAAAACUGAUAAUAAAUAGAUUGCAUUUAAAAAUUGUGGGAUUUGGAGACGGAUCUGAGUUUUUGUCUGUGUUGCACCGAUCCUCGGAGCACAUCCUUGGUCCAAAAGCAGGAACUUAGGUCAAAUUUCUUUUCCUUUUUUUUUUUUUAAUUCAAGACACGUUCUCGUGGCAAUAAGGAAUGGUUUUGCAUUCGUCUUGGCCACUCUACUACCAUUUUUUUAUAUGUUAAACCAUUUCGAUGUCAUUGAAUUAAAUUUCGUGUUUGUAUUUAAUGUAAAUUUUGAUCGUGACUCAGAAGAUCCCAUUUCUCAAAAUAACUUUUAAAAUGCACGCAUGACUCCUUAAACAUGUGCACACCAAACUCAUAUGCGCACACCAUCACAGACCAAACUCAUAGGAGCACACCAAAGUUAGUGUGGAAUAAAAAAUUCCAUUUAUAUACAAACGUAAAUCAUUCAAAAUGCCAACAUGCUGUCCUUUUCUUUCUUUUUUUUCUUUUUUCCCCCCUCAUUUGCUGGUCUUGUUCGAAGCUUUGGAAAUAUCUUGGCAUGCCCAUGACACAGAAAAAGGGACAAAAGAAGUAUGAAACAAAUUCGAGCGAUAAUUUCUUCUGAAAAAAUUAUGGGCAUCAUUGAAUAUUUCUGAAAUAAUAUUUAUUUUGUCUUAUCCAUACUUCGUGAAGAAGGAAUGGGGAAUGUCCCAUACCUAAUGUCCAUAAUCCCCCAACCGUGCAAUCCUUUGGUUGUGAAUUUCAAUGUGGCAAUAAAAAUGACAUUAUCUAUCUGCAGGCCUAAUUAAUAGUUCAAAUCAUGCACAUUAAAAAUCCAUUUUAUCUCGAAAGAAUUCGCACCAAUUAUUGGUAUCAAAUAAAAAAUUCAUCCUUGUAUAAUGGAAGGGAAAUAUCCAUAUACAUGUCUUAUUCUUUUCAAUAAUCCAUAUUUGUAGCAAUGAAGCACUAUUUUUUACCCUUAAGGAAGAAAUGACUGGUUACAAAUAUAUGUGAUCUAUAAUCUCUGUAAAGGACCAUGUAUACUUGCUUAUCUAUCAUUAGUUGAAUCCAUUAACAUAAACAUGAGGGCAAGAAGAGGCAAUACAGAAGUUUGUAAAUUGUAAAAAUGAGUUCACGUGAAUUGUCAUACACAGGUACUUCCAUGUAAUAACUCUAGUGAAUUGUCCUACACAAGUACUUCCAUGUAAUAACUCUAUUGAAGGGAUCCUGUUACAAAAAUAGCUUUCGGUACAUGUGUUACUGCUUUGACUAGCGAAUAACCAAUUUGGUCCCAACCAAUUUGAUCCCAACGCAAGAAAUAACCAAUAACUAAAAGGAUGUAGAUACAGCCAGAAUCACACUUGUAAAUUACGUUAAUUUAUGAAGUCUUUUUAAAACCACUCGCGAGAUGCACACGAAAAUGCAUGCAAAAUCAUUUUUAGGACCAUCAUACUUACCAGCCAUCCAUGAAUUGAUCUUAUUAACACGAAACAGUUGGCUACUAUCCAAAUACGGAAGAAUUGAAAUCUUUGAUCAAGACAUUAUAUAUAAAUAAUAUGAAUUGCCUACAUAAGACUUUUCAUAUAGAGGAUAACCAGUUUUAUUACUCACUACAAAGAAUUUCCAUGAAAGAAACAUGUGAAUUCACUGGAAAAUCAACACUACGCAUGUCAAAUGAAAUUGUUGUUGCUAUCUACUUUAAUAACCAAUCAUUGGUUUAAAUUUAAAUAAAUAACUAAAUAAAAUAUAUAGACUUUUCUUUUGAUCACAAGUCGAUAUAUCAUCUUGAUUGGAGAUCCCCUAUAUGGAUAUAUACACAUUCCAGUUGAUUGAAUCUAGUUCUAAUUAAUUUAUAAUGAAGCAAAGAUAUCCACAGAGUGAUUCAUGCUAUUAUGAUAUUCACAACCAAGAAAUAUCUUAUUUUCUUUUGGAUAGGUCUUAGGAAAAUUUUAAAAAAAGAGCCUAAAGUGGACAUUAUUUCUAAUAAGAAUCCAAAGUGCCCUCAUUUUCUCAAAUAAAGGCAUGAAGUGGCUAUAUUAGUCUCAAAAAAAUGGCUUGACCUCGCCAUCUAGUGGAGGACAAUUUCGUCUUUCAAAUUUUUUUCUUUCUUCUUUCUUCUUUCAUUGAAAAAACAAACUAAAAAAACUAAAACUUACAUACAUACAAAAAAACUAAAAAUUACAUACAUACAUACAUACAUACAUAUGUAUGUAUGUUUAUAUAAAGAAACGCAAGGGAGAGAUGGCUCCCUCCCGCCUGUGGCCGCUGCUCCAUCAUCGGUGGGGGCAAUGACAAUGGCCAACAGCCCUCACGUAGGUCUAGUGAGGACGAGUCAAGGGUUGUCGGAUCUACGCAAGGGUGGACGACCCUUGCCAAGACCGAGAUGAGGGCAAGCAACCCUAUCAGCUGUCAGUACUGCCCCAUUGGUGAUGGAGCGACCUAUAUUUUUGCUUUAAUAAAACUUUUGUCUUUUUUAUUUUGUUUUUAAACUAACUUAACUAAAAUUCAAAUUAAAAAUGUGUUUGGACAAAAAUACUCUUGAUCGGCUAGAAUAUUUUGUCGGGCGAUGAGACUAAGCCUUUAUUUGAGAUAACCAUAACCACAUCAAGCCUUAUUUGAAAUAAUAUACAUUUCAUGUCCUUAUUUGGAAUUUUUCCUAAAUCUUGAAAGGAGAAGGAAGGCUCAAAUGCCAAUAAGUUUCUAGUACCGAAUUGACCGAAUGCGAUAUUACUCAUUUUGUGAAAUUCUAGUGCCAUAAAUAAGUUACAAAUCACUAAACGAACUUUCGAAUGUAGUUUGUUGUGUUACAUCAUAUGUGGAAGAAGUUUAUCCCAAAUCAAUCUACCCUUGUGCUGAGUCCUGUCAAAAAAUUUAUUGGCAGGGUGAGUGCAAGAGGGGAAAAUUUCACCGGCAAUUUAUGAGCUUGCAGUGGAUUCGCUCUCUUGUUGUCGCUAUUUCUAUCUGUAAGAAUAUAAUGCUCUAUCAAGGUGCAGGCCAUCGUUGUCACUAUAAUUUAAUGGAGACAUUCCAUCGAGUUUUCAGCCACACAUCCCAUGUACCAACAAUACCAUUGUGGCCUCGACUUGAUUUUGUAAGUGAUCUUGACUUGAUCGCGAUAGGGUAAUUAUGUAAUAUGUUGUCAACGUAUUUUUUUCUUUAUUUUACUUGAACAAUUUCAUACAAUAUUAAUUUGAGUGUGUGCAUAGUUAUAACAUUCAAAUCAGCAGUGAAUAAGACUGUUUGUGUAAUUUUUAUUUUUUAUAUUGACGAAGUAUACUUUGGUUUUCCUUUGUGGUAAUAGAACGGGCAGCACUAAAUGACACCAACUUUGGCUCCAUACUUAUUAGAAUAACAAAAAUGAUCGAACUAUCGGUCUUUUUAUCAUUCUAAUUCCCCAGUUGUGUACAUAGCCAAAGCUGAGGUGGACUUAGCGCCGUCCUAAAACAAGGUAAGGGAGGGAGAAGAAAUAAUGGAAUGUCCGGUAUGGCCGUAUGAGUUUUCAUUUUACUUUAUGAAUUGAUCUCUCUCUUUAACCUUAGAGAUUUAAUCGAAGUUUAUGCGAUGUUUUCUUUUGUUGGUCGAGAAAAUUUUAUAUGAUGUUAAGUACCUUGAGGUUAUUGAAAACAUAUGAAUAUUGCCAUUUAACGUUACCUUAAAAAUUUAUUUAUCUUGCAUAUUAGAGUCAGGAUGUGUGAAUUUAUAAUAUCAUAUGAUAAAAGAUGAUCUCGAUAUGAUUAGGAAAAUUGUGGUCCAUAAAGUAAAUCUAGUGCAUUUUAGUUAAUUCAGUCAUAAAUUAUUCAAUUAUGUCAAUUUAUAAUAAACAUUUUCAUGUUUUGCCAAUUGAGUCAAUCCGAUCAAAUUUAACUAAAAAUUGCUGACGUAGACACUAACCAUUAUACAUGACAUGGUCAAUGUUGAUGUAAACAUUUUAAUAAUUUUGGUUUUUCUUUUCUUUACAAGUUUUUUAUUGAGUGCUAGCGAGAGUUGCCGGUCAACCCUCAUCGGCUCUGGGUGAGGGUCACCUUGCCUCAUCAAGCCCUCUCCAGCCAGCCAUUGCUAAUGGCAGGUCUCCUUGUCUAGCCCUCUCCAACCACCACCAAGAGGGAAAGAAGAAAACAUAAAAAGGAAAAAAAUUCUAAAAAAUAAAUUUGCAAAGUUGUGCAUGUUAGUGCCUAUACGCCAUAUAGCAUGAUCGCCGCUUAUGGCAGGUCCCCUUGCCUAGCCCUCUCCAACCACCAGCAAGAAGGAAAGAGGAAAACAUAAAAAGGAAAAAAAAAAAUUGCAAAGUUGUGCAUGCUAGUGCCUAUACGCCAUAUAGCAUGAUCGCCGCUAAUGGCAAGUCUCCUUGUCUAGCCCUCUCCAACCACCAGCAAGAAGGAAAGAAGAAAACAUAAAAAGGAAAAAAAUUCGAUUUUUUUUUUUUUUUGCAAAGUUGUGCACGUCAAUGCCUAUACGCCAUAUAGCAUGAUGGUCACUAACUAGGCUACGACAUCUAGCGUUUUCCACUCAAAAUUAGCCCAAUUGACUUAAUUGAUAAAGCAUGAAAAAAUUUAGGACUGAAUUAACACAAUUAAAAUAUUUAAGACUGAAUUGAUCAAAGUAUAAUAGGUUUAAGGCUCUUUGGACAAUUUUCUCAUGUAUGAUUUUGUGCACUAUUUGAUAAUUGGUUGUUAAACCAAAGAAAAACAUAAAUUGACGUCAUGCUUCAUUAAUAUAACUUGGUUUGUUAAAUUAUUUAAGAGCUAAUAUAACCAAAAAUCUCAAAUGAUAUAUAUGUUCUCGAUUUAUCCAAAAUUACUUUUUUUGCCACUAAAAUUCCAAACCGAUACACUCGUACCACAUUUAUCCUCAACUCCUUUUCCUAUCGUAAAAAACCAUAAAUUGGUACAUUAGUUCCAUGUUUACCCAAAAUUAGUUUUUAAGUCACAAAAAUCCAAAAUCACCAAAAUUUUAGAUUAAGAAAUAUGCUAAGUUUUUUCCUAAGAGCUCUCUCAAGUUUCAAAAUUUUGCUAAAACCUUAAAUUUUUUGUGAUAAAAAAAAUUAGUUUAGGAUAAAUGAAGUAUAUGUGUAUUAUCGGUUUGAAAUUUUUUCAUGAAAAUUAGUUGAAGUAAAUGUGGGACAUUAUACUAGUUUGGGAUUUUUUUAAAACACAAAAAUUUGUUUUGGGCAAAUGCAGCAUGGAUAUAUCAAUAUAAGAUUUUUUUUUGUGGUAUUAACCAAACAUUUGAUGGAUCCAAAAAAAAAAAAAAAAGAAGCUUAUGUUCGAUGCUUUCCAAUAAUUUUAUUAAUUUUCUCUAACGUGUCAAGUUUGUUACCACCGCCCUCAGCGGCGCAGCUUGCUUGAGCUCUCUCCCCCUCACGAAGGGGAGAAAUUCAAAUCCCAAAGAUGUCAUUAGGGAUUCUUACCUGAAGUACCGUGGUGAUGAGUCUUGCAAUCGCUCCCUCACGGGGUUCCCUAAGUUACCAAAAUAAUAAUAAUUAUGCUUGUUUCAUCACGAAAUUCAAGUUGACUUUCACGAUUUUAAUUACAUGGCCAACUCCCUUCUCUUUCCAUUUCUCAAUGCGAUCUUUUCUUGUAGUCAGUGAAUUUAAAUUCGUCAUGUAUAUUUUGCUCUAAUUAUAUUAAUUUAUUCUUUUAGAUUCUUCCCCACUUUUCAUUUUAUACUUUUCUAUGUUAAUAUUAAUCUCAACGAAAAUACUAACAUAAAUUUUUAAACAUUCCAUUCUCAAUUUACUGAAUUUGACUCCUAUUUUUUUCAAUGAAAGGCCUUUCUUUUUCUUUUUCUAAUUGUCAUGCUUCUUCUUUUUUUCUUAUGUUGUUAAUGUCUUAAUUCUUCAUGUUGGUAAUCUUUAAUGCAUAUCGCUAUUAUGGGUGCGUUUGGGAACCCCUUUUCAAGGGGCUUUGGGGAGCUAAAGAUGUUUGGGCCAAAGUGGAGGUGUUUGGGAACCAUUUUCGAAAGCAAUUUCCCACCUAGAGGUUCAUAUUUCCUCACACCCUUUUCUAAUCUCCUCACGUGUUGCAUAAAAACAUUAUAGGCAGCUUCUGGAAUCACGUCUUGAGGACCAGACAAAUGGUCAAAAUAGAGAAAAGGAAGAGUAGCUCCGCGCCAGAAGAAGCAAAGAUCCGGCUGGGGGUUGUUGGAAAUUUUCAGUGAGAAAAGCUCCGCAGCUACUUCAACUCGAGGGUACUUGGAAGGAGCUUUCAUGAACAUACGUGCCGUUUUUUAGGAUGUACCUUAACAUAUCCUUAAAAGGCUUUAUUUUUAGUUCAAUCUAGAUCUUGAGACUUCGGGACGUAGAAAAACACUUCAAAAGUAUUCCCUUCUCUUGAGGAAGACAAAUAUAUAGAGGGAAACAAGUAGGGGUAUUGGAUGCGUGGGCACCGGCAAGUUAAAUAAUGGUCCAUCAAGAUUAACUGACUAGCGGUGCAGCCUUAACAUGUUGACACAAGUCACCUAAUGUUUGGUGAGGCUACUUAACUCGAGUUAGGGGUGUACCCGGGAACCGGACCGGCCCACCCGGAAAACAGUGUUAAUAACCGGUUCUCAUUGAAACUGGUCCGAGAAUCGGUUCCCAAAAUUCGGAACCGAUUUAAACUAGUUCGAGAAUCGGGUUCGAUUGAUUACCAACCCAGGAAUCGGUUUCCGAACCAGUUUUGUAAGUAUAGGUCAAAAAUCCUAUUUUUUUCCUCUUAUUUCUAUUCUUACUCUUGCAACGUUUUUCCUCUUGGUUCUCUCAAACACACACGGCACUUCUCUUUCAUUGUUCCUCUUCCUCACUUGUUUCUCUCCCUCGUCGACUCCUCUCGCACUGUCUGAUGGAUGGACGGUGUUCGUCGCAUUAAAUUUUUGUAUAUCAUGUGGAUUGGCUCACAUAAUUUCUCUUUUGUAGGAAUUAUGCUUACAUAAAUGAGUAGCUUUCAUAUAGUAGUUGUGGGAAUAAGACUAAUAUUAGACCCAUGUUUGUUGCUAAUUCUUUGCCUUAUAAUUUUAUUUAUUAUAAUUAGCUAUGUGGAUCCUUAAUAUUUCAUUUAGUCAAAAAAUUCGUGUAUUUAUUUAUUACAAGUGCUUAAUAUUUGAGGAUUAUGUUAUUUUUUCGCGUAUUAAUAUAAAAUUCGAAGUCAUAUAGAAUAUCAAGAAAUUGCAAAACAAGUUCUAGUGAAAAUAGAGUUGACCAUGAAAUCAAAUCGGAAAAACAAAGUGGGUCGGGUAUAGUGUUCAAUACAAAUAAAGUCAGGUACAUGAUCUAAAAAACGGGAAUACAAUAUCGGAUACAGGGUUCAAGUCUGGACCCUACCCACCCUGGACCACUCUUAACCCGAGUGAAGUUAAAGGAGCUUUUGUGUCCACACAUGCUGUUUUUGACAUACGGGGUCUGGCUGCAGUUUCUCUCCUUGGAGCCACAAGCCGUGGCCGUGAGCGAUGCUGUGGGGAUGUUCUUGACAGCAGAAUGGACCACUUAUCGAUUAUAGCCAGAAAAGCCCACGACCCCACCCCAUCCGUGGUUUUCGUGGAGCACGAUUCCCUUCUGUCAAUUCACUACGCCCACCAGUUUCUUCCCCUCUCUUCCUGCUGUCCCUGUCUUGUCCAUUCACGAGAGAGAGAGAGAGAGAGCCAUCUGUCUAAACGGACAUUAAAGGCUGGAGAUUUAUAGCAUGACCCAUGUAGCUUACUUUUGUGGAAUCUACGAAACCUGCAUUAAGAUGAGCCAAGAUUAGGAUGGUGUCUUUAUCGAAUGACAAGGGUAGCUUCCCGUUCUCGCGCUUUGGGAUUUUGCCCAAGCGCAGUUUGAAAGACAGUAAUCCUGGUCCCGCGUCCAAAUUACUUAGGACAGGGCGGACAUUGCUCAGCACGAGUGUUCAUAGCAUAGAAGCAGCAUCGUUUAGUAGUUACCCGAGAAUCCCUGCAAUCAAAGGCAAAAGAUCCAUCUGCAAUACACAUCCUCUUGUUCUGUAAUCAUAGUAUUUUACGUGAUGCAUUCGAAUAUCAUGGCUUAACUUAUAUUUAUAGAUACAUGCAAACCGCAUUGUCCACGUGCAUCGAGUAAGACUCCGCCCAUAAGGUGGCGAGUGUAUUUUCAAGGCUAACAUAUUAUCUAUCGGAUCCAAACCAUGCACUUAACCACUUAACGAACCCCUUCUUUCCACGAUUGUCAAUGCCGGAUGCUCUAUGAACGCGGAUAACAACCGCGAGGUCGUUGCAUGUGCCAGCCGCAUGACAUUCCAUCCCGACUUCUUUAAAAGGCUAAUCAUCCCCCCCGCGGGAAACAUCAGAUAAUUCGCAACACUUGAGCUGGGCUUGGGCCUGGGCCUGGGCCUGGGCUUGAAUAUUCGGUAUAAAGUCUAGAUAUCGAUGUUGGGCCUCCUGCGGAAAGCCCAUGGAUCCGCCGCCCUCCCCGGCCCAUCUGAUUGCCCAUCGUUCCGUCUGCAUUUAUCCGCUCUCUAAUCGGUCAAAUCGAAGACGAACUGAAAAUCCCUGCUCGACGAAGGCGGUGAUCGAUCAGGAAUUCCUGCAACGAAGCUCGAUUCUCCUUCUUUCUCCUUCUCAUUCUUCAAUCCGAGAGCUUCCCUUCGAUUCUCAGCCGAAAGGAUCUUCGAAGAUGCAGCUCGAAUCGGAGAAACCCUUCCAAAUCUUCCUUCAGUCGCACGACCUCCGCAUCCCCACUCGAACCCUAACCCUAUCCCCGGCGCCGUCCGACACCCUCCGCCACCUCAAGCGCUCCCUCUUCCCCGCCGCCGACUCGCCGCCGGAUCUCUACUUCACCCUCGAUGGGAAGGCCCUCGACGAUUCGACCCCGAUCGUGGGCUCCGGGGUCUCGCCGCUCUCGACCCUGGUCCUGCGGUGCAGGCUCCGGGGCGGCGGCGGCGAUGGCGGCGCGACGGGGGCGGAGUCGCGGGACUGCUACUUGAACAUGUACGCGGAGAAGAAGCCCGACAAGGCGGACCCGAACGAGCAGAGGAUCUCGAAGUGGGUGAAUUGCGCCUUGUCCAGCGAGCCCUUGAGGGAACCCUGCGUGGUGGACAAGUUGGGGAAUAUCUUCAAUAAGCAGGCUCUGGUGGAGGCUCUUCUGGGCAAGAAAUUGCCCCGGGAGUUCGGAUACAUAAAGGGUCUCAAGGAUAUGGUCAACAUUAAGCUCACGGAGAUUCCGGGCCUGGAGGAUGAUGUCAGCGGGGGCGCGGGCGCGCGGUAUCAGUGCCCGAUUGCCGGUCUCGAGUUUAAUGGGAUGUACAAGUUUUUCACAUUGAGGACCUGCGGCCAUGUGAUGAGCGCCAAGGCGUUGAAGGAGGUGAAGUCGUCGUCUUGUUUGGUGUGUCAUGAGGAGUUCAGUGAAUUGGAUAAGAUUGUGAUCAAUGGGAGCGAGGAGGAGGUGGCGGUCCUGAGGGAGAGAUUGGAGGAGGAGAGGGCAAAAUUGCGAGAUAAGAAGGCGAAGAAGGUGAAGAAUGGGGAGGUGGUUGCUGGUGGAGAAGAAAUUACUCAGUUAACUGGUGCUAAACGCGGCAUUGAGGUAAAGCCUGUUGAGAAAGCCUCUGUUAAAGUUGAUGAAAAUGGGAAACUGAAAAAUGGUGGACGUGGAGUGAAUGGUGUGCCUUCUGAUGGAGCUAAGAGGUUUAAGGCGACAGAUAUAGUCCCCCGUAAUGCUACAAAGGAUGUUUAUGCAUCGAUUUUUACGUCUUCGAGUAAAAGUGACUUCAAAGAGACGUAUUCUUGCAGAUCCCUCCCGCUUAAUAGGAAUUAGUUCUGGAAGGAUCUGAAACUUGAGCACCCUUGAUGAGUUGUCUUUGGCCAGUCUGGGUGUUUUAUUAUAAAUCAUGGUUCGCCAUUGAUGAUUUAGUUGUUUGUUGAUGUUGAGAUUCUCUUACUGUGGAAUUCUUUUGAUGUUUACAAUCAGAUUGUCUCGUUGACGAACAUUGUACCUAACCAUGAAAUGCAAGUAGUUUAUUUAUAUUGAGCCAUAUAUUUUUCUUUUUAUGAACUUUACGAAUAUUAUAAAGACUCUCUCACUCCUUACGGAAUUCCCUGCAAAUUAUAUGUUCUGUGUAUGCUUUGGUUCUGUAGUCCAUGAAGUCUUUUAUAGAAGCAUGGCUGUGUAUAGUGUUCUUCUAUAUUAUAUCUUCUUGAUAUUGUUAUGUCAUAAUUUCAGAGCUUGAAGCAUGUAACUUCCCCAGGUUUGUGCAUUAUCUGUGUAUAUUAUAGCGUCAUUGGUAGGAUAACUUUCUCCAAUGUUACUCCUUAGCUAUGUCUUAGGAUGGGACUACCCUGCAAGGUGAAAUACUACUUAGUCACUGAUGGUGACCGUGAGUGAAAGGGUAAAAGCACCUGCAUUUACAAGAUGUGAAAACCUGUAUGCAGAAUGAGCCUGCAAGUUGUGAUUGGUAAACAGAGCUGCAGUGAAAGUGAAUGGUUGUUAAGUCGGUGAUUUUAGUCCCAAACUCGGUGAGCUAACCAUGAGCAGGUUGAAAUUAGGGCAAUACCUAGUGGAGGACCAAGCCAUGGGUAGAACAAAUUCCUCAGCUUCCACACAUGUCAAAGAAUGCAUUGAUUUCGCAUUUGUUGACCAGUGGAUCGGAGCGGAACUAUGUGUGACCAAUUGACACAAUUAUAAACCAAUUUCAGCCAAGGAAGAUUCGUACCUGCUGUGUGCCAUGAUUCCUUAAGGGCUGGGAUGUCUUGAAAUGAUCCCUUGGAGAAAGACUCCUAUUACUGUGGAUUACCAAUAUUGCUAUGGGGAAGUGGUUUGUAACAUUAUGGCCCUUCUUUGCUAUUUAUGCCUUCAGAAAUACUCUAAGCUGACUGUCGAAUUCGGGUUAGUUGUGCUAUUUGGGACAUCUGCUCUAUGCACAUGAGCUGAGUAUUCUUUUAAAACUUUUUCUCAGUAUAUGAUAGUAUAAUAUCAUGCAAGCUCGUGUUCCUGCAGCAGUUUUUGAUGACUGUUUUACUUGCUAUUAUUCAUUUUUGUUGUGGUCUUUGUUCUCUGCAAUGGAAAUAAAAUUGAGGUUCUGUUCAUUCAGUUUAUGUAUGUAAGAUGUUUCUUAAGUCUCUUUAAAAUUGUAUAUGUCAGUGUAGUUCAUUCUUGUCAAGUUUGAAUGUUCGAGUUGGAGUAUUAAUUGAGACAGGUUCAGGCUUCAUAAUGAUCGACUCAAUGGGAUCGUGGGCUAAUUGUGUAAUUGACUUUGGAUAUGAAUCAUAUGUUAUAUAUUUCUUUGAUGUUAUCAAGAUGAAGUAUAUACAUGACUGUCAAUUAUUUGUGCACUUUUUAGAUGUUCUUUCUUAUGCUCAAAUUCAUUCGAUCGUCCAGACUUCAACCAUGAUAGUGCAGAUAGUUCCGGCACCAGCCCUUUCCCUGCUACCGUUUUCUUUUUCUAUGCCCUCACAGCUCCUAGGAAUGGUAGGGUCCCUUCACCGUGCACAGGUUUAAGUAUAUGUAGUUGCCUUUUUGACUAAUUGGCUUCAUAGUGAAUAGCUUCCUCUUUUCCGUAUUAUGGCUUGCUACUUUUUUGAAGACCUAAUGGAUUACAGAACUUUCUCAGCGCAUUGUUUUCAAGGGCUCAUUGUCAUCACAGGCAAAACAAUGUCUCAAAAUGGGCUGAAAAUGAUCCUAUGGGGAGCUUUCACUUGCUCUAUGAUAGUUAUUGGGCAUGCUGAAUCAACAUUCAACAAUGUCUUUUUGACUAAUUGGCUUCAUAGUGAAUAGCUUCCUCUUUUCCGUUUUGCCAUGUUAUGGCUUGCUACUUUUUUGAAGACCUAAUGGAUUACAGAACUUUCUCAGCACAUUGUUUUCAAGGGCUCAUUGUUAUCACAGGCAAAACAAUGUCUCAAGAUGGACUGAAAAUGAUCCUAUGGGGAGCUUUCACUUGCUACUUUUUUUAAGACCUAAUGGAUUACAGAACUUUCUCAGCACAUUGUUUUCAAGGGCUCAUUGUUAUCACAGGCAAAACAAUGUCUCAAGAUGGACUGAAAAUGAUCCUAUGGGGAGCUUUCACUUGCUACUUUUUUUAAGACCUAAUGGAUUACAGAACUUUCUCAGCACAUUGUUUUCAAGGGCUCAUUGUUAUCACAGGCAAAACAAUGUCUCAAGAUGGACUGAAAAUGAUCCUAUGGGGAGCUUUCACUUGCUCUAUGAUAGUUAUUGGGCAUGCUGAAUCAACAUUCAAGAAGUUGACACCGGUUGCUUGGAGAAGUUUUGCUUAGAAACAAAGAGAAACUCGUGACCAGAACAGGAUGCAUAAUGACCUUUGCCAGACUGAUGAUCACCGAAGAAGAGUAUGCAAAUGUAGGGAAGUCGCAGACAUCCAGCCUCUGGUAAUUGGCCAUCUGAUCCUUCAAGAAGUUUUCACUUGCUGUAUGAUAGUUAUUGCUCACACUAAAUCGACACUUGAGAAGUUACACUGGUUGCCUGGAGAAGUUUUGAUUGGAAAGAAAGCGAAACUAGUGACCGGAACGGGAUGCAUAAUGACUCUGUCGCAGAUUGAUGAUCACUGAAGAAGAGUAUGCAAAUGUAGGAAGCUGCGGACAUCUGGGCUCCCGGUAAUUGGCCAUCUGAUCAUGGGCUCAUGCGCAGUCGCAUGCAAAUGGAGGAUGCACGAUUCGAAGCAUGGCACGGUUUUCGGAGCUGGGUUCGCGGAUGCACUGAACUUGGACUUUGCAUGACAGACCAUCUCCAUUUCUCCUCCUCUGUAUUGACCAUUAUCUGGCAAUAGCUGUUGUUUUUGGGGACUUGUAGCUGUCACGUUAGUGUGCUUGGUAAGGUCGUUGUUCCAUUGGUACUCGUCGCGUGCGACUCUUUGGUUUCAACCAUUCCAGCAUUCCACGAUAUUCACCCUCACUCUCACUGAGGGCAUGGUUGCUUUUCUUAGAAUAAGAACUCCUGUAGAUUAGAUUGAAUAUGGUCAUGCACGACCACUCAAGUUUCGAAUAGGUCAAGUGCAAAAUGCUCAGCUUGAGGUACAUAAUUCCUGCAACAAAGGCUAUGUAGAGGCCGUUCGAAUACGUUUUCAUGAACUAAGCAUAUUUUACAUGAAAAUACUCUUUGGGAACAUAAAUUAUGAUCUCGAAAGCAUAAAUUCAUCAUAUUUCAUGAUGAGAAUGUGAAUCUCUUCAUUGGGAGAAAGCAACUAUUUUAUUUUUUAUGCUGAUUGAGUUAACUAAAUGCUGUUUAUAAAAGGUAAAGGAUAGCAGCAAAAAUGCAUUGGUCAUACAUUUUGUACCCCUCAUUUUAUAUCAUUACUUGAAUAAUGAGGGUGUGUUAUUGCCUACUCACCUUCCUAAGUUAGGUUUAAAGGUUCACCUAGGAAGGUUUUACAACAACUUAGAAGAGGUCUAGCCUCUCCAGGUAUGUCUACCAAUGCCUGUCCACGUUCUAAGGAGAGGUGGCGGGCUACUUGGAUUCUCCCAAAACAAUGUCACGGACACGGCACCUAACUCUCCCUACAGCUAAAUUGAUAUUUUUCUUCCUGGUUUAGUAGGGAAUACAGACCACAACCAAACGGAGUUUUCCACCCUAUGGAGGUUCUGCCCCCUAUCUAGAGGACCCUUGAGCCUUUUAUAAACCUAUUUGGUGUUAAACCUAGCCAUUAUAUUUUUUGAGGCGUGAGUGCUAUCUCUACGCUCCUUUGUUUUACGUUGGGAAGGAACCCCUAUAGAAACCUCUAUAGAGGGGCCAGUGCCUAUUAGUUGACUGCCUCCCCCAUUGGAGACAGCCCCAUCCUUUAGGAACAGGACAUUAAGGGGUCAACCUCCUCUCGAAGCUUCUCCAUUCUAUUUCCCUGUAGGCCUUUUGAGGACUUGCUUAGGUCCGACUGUUUAUAAAAGGUAUAGGAUAGCAGUAAAAAUGCAUUGGUCGUACAUUUUGUACUCCUUACUUUAUAGCAUUACUUAGAUAACCUUAUCUUGAAAGAGUGAUUAUUGCGAACACUUCCGGUCUAUCCAAUUAUAAUCGCUAUGACAUUCACACCGCUUUUUUUUUCCCGCUUUGCACACGCGCCUCGUUUCUCAUCACAACACUUUUGAUAAUUUGAAUAAGUCUUGCUAACAAUUGCCUUUAAGACAAGCACCUUUAGAAUAUUAAAUUAACUUAAUCAAGACAUUUUGAGAACAAAAGAAUUACGCGUUAAUUUAUUAACAGACAAUGAUUAACGAAAACCCUAAGGACACUCAUUAAACACCUGUUCAUGGGGAAAAAAAAUAUCUUGCCAUUCUCUCUUUCAGAAUUGGAAGUGCUGUUACAUCCAACAGUGAAAUGACAUUCAAUCAUGAAAAACCAUGUUCCACACCUUAUAAUAAUAAAAAUAAUAAAAAAUUUGAGAGAGAGGGAGAGGCGGCCCGGUCCGGUCCGGUCUGGCAAUAUAAGAGAGAGGCAUCACCCGACAACCACCGACUUAUCUCCCCAUACAGCCUUGAAUCGCAUGUCCUCCUCACGAUGUGAGCACAGGAAGGCAGCCCUUGCUCUCUGCAAGUGCCUUUGAGCCCUUCCUCUGCGAGCUCCUCCCAUUCUCUACAGUCCGCCCUCAAUCCAGGAACCCAAAAAAAAAACCAUAAAAAAAAAAAAGACGCAGUUUUUAUCGCCUGUCGAACAGAAAAAACCCCCCCUCCAACAAGAAGAUUUUCCCCCUUCAAAAAGUCAAGAAUCGUUUCCCCACCCCGACAGAAAUAAAAAAGAAAAGAAAAGAAAAACGUCCAGAUCCCAUUUGGAGCUCCUCGGUCGCGACCCUUUUGGUGAUUCCUCGUGCGCCCACGAAGGGUCCUCGGCUCGAAUAUCCUCAGGUAAAGAUCUUUGUCCAAUUGGGUGUUUCUCCUUUGUCGGGUCCUUUCUCAAGUUCUUGCCUUGAGAUGGGUAUGCGUGUGGGGGUGGUGAUGGCUUCUUUUGAUUUUCUGGGUUUGUGUUUUGUUGUGACGCAGAUUCUGGGUUAUCGUUGUCUUUCGGAUCGGGUUUGGUAUAUUGGGCGCAUUGGGAGGACGGGAAAAAUUCAAGAAUGUCCGUUCUGUCGAAAAGCGAUUCUGUUGAGAUUAGGGAGGUUUGGGAAUACAAUCUGGAAGACGAGUUUUCGUUCAUUCGCGAGAUCGUGGAUGAUUAUCCCUACAUUGCCAUGGACACCGAGUUCCCUGGGAUGGUCCUUCGCCCGGUGGGGAAUUUCAAGAGCAGCUCCGAGUAUAAUUACCAGACCCUUAAGGCCAAUGUCGAUCUUUUGAAGCUAAUCCAGUUGGGCCUGACCUUCGCGGAUGAGAAGGGAAAUCUCCCGACCUGUGGAACGGAUAAAUACUACGUGUGGCAAUUCAAUUUCCGUGAGUUCAAUUUGAAUGAGGAUGUUUAUGCUCAUGACUCGAUCGACUUGUUAUCUCAAAGUGGGAUCAACUUCAAGAAGAACAACGAGGUGGGCGUUGAUGCUCGUCGCUUCAGUGAGCUAUUGAUGUCGUCCGGGAUAGUGUUGAACGAUAGUGUUCACUGGGUCACAUUCCACAGCGGGUAUGACUUCGGGUACUUGCUUAAGGUGCUGACCUGCCAGAGUCUGCCGAGUACACAGUCCGGGUUCUUUGAUCUGAUUAAGAUGUACUUCCCCGUGCUUUACGAUAUCAAGCAUUUGAUGAAGUUUUGCAAUAGCCUUCAUGGGGGUUUGAAUAAGGUUGCCGAGUUGUUGGAAGUGGAACGGGUUGGCAUAUGUCAUCAAGCGGGUUCUGAUAGUUUGCUCACUUGCUCCACUUUCAUGAAACUGAAGGAGAACUUCUUUAAUGGCUCGCCUGAGAAGUAUGCUGGGGUUUUGUAUGGUCUGGGUGUUGAGAAUGGACAAAAUGGUUACUAAGAUGAGGAAAAAAAAAUAGUAUCUGAAAUAAAAAUUUAAAAUAUAAAAUUUCUCUGCGUGUGUUCCCCGUUCACAUCAUUCUUUUUUCUUUUUUUCUUUUUUUUUGGGCACAGUAUGGUCGAUUGGAUUUUGGUCACUCUCCAGGAUUGACGUGGUACAUAGUUUGAAGUCCUUGAGAAUGUUAGCAAGUAGUGAGGAUAGGAGAAUAGCCAUGUUUACCUAGGAAACGGCAUUUAUACUUCUCAUUUUGCUUUACAUCGAAACAUUGCAGACAAGAUGACUGACCUUUGUUGUGUUUUAGAGCUUGUCUUGAAGGAUGAACCUUAUAGUGCACAGAAUCUGAGGGUGCAUGCUUGCGCGCAGGAUGCAUGCACACAUGGCGCAGACAUAAUAUUCACUCACUGCAUGCGCAUCUCCUUUUGUAUCGACUACUUUUGGGUCAUUUGACUAUACCUUGCAAUGUCACCCAUUAUGCCUUGAUCUAUAAUUUUAAUUAGUAUUAAUGCUAGGUUAGGACAUGGACGUGACCCGGGGAGGGUUUUCCUGUAGCAACAUCCAGUAGGUUCUGGUUCAAUUCCCGCCUGCUUCCUCUCCUGCGUUACUUAGGAAGAGAAAAGCUAUAUUGUGGCCUGUGAAUUUCUUUUUUCUUCUUUUCCAUUUGGAUCAUUGCUAUGUGACUUAAGGCUUCAUCAUGUUAAGUGUUCAGUUUCUCGGUCUGUCUUUGUGUCCCAGCUCCUUCUACUGUGUUACCCAUAUGCUCCUCAAAUAUUGGUAUGGAUAUUUAGCUAAUGCCAGGUCUUUAUUUGGAGCAGGUUUUGUUCUUUUAUGCCUGAAUCACACAUUUCUCAGCACAUCUCCUUGUCUUUUCUGUUUUUAAUGUCUAAUUUGGUCUGGAAGUGGUGUCGAAUCAUCAUGCAGUCAUGAUAUGCUGAUUUAUAUUCUGAGCAGACGACCUACACUGCUUAAAGAAAUUUCCCAUGUCUUGUAUAUUAUUAAAUUUUACCAACUGUGACCUGGAACUUUGGAUAUCAUAGUAGUGCAGCAGGUAGAUCUUGUGCAACAAAUUAUUGGCUUAUGUUGCAACUUUCUGCUACUCCGGCAUCCUCCGUUAUAUUGUCUCCUGGCAAAAGUUUAGUUCUUUUAGUUUGAUGGUGUUGCAAUGGGUGAGCUACUGGCUUUUACAAACUGAUGGCCAUUUGUAUCUACUCCAUUGUUCAGCAUUUGCCAUUUGCCAUUUGUCAUUUGCGUCCUGGGUGAAAAAGAUGUUCAGCAUUAUGAAAACGUGUUUGUAAGCAAUAGGUAGGAUGAUGAUCAUCCCCUUGAUUUGUGAGGAUAAAUUCUGUAGGAUUAGUUAUGGCUGAUCUUGAGACUACUGAGUUAUGAUAUACAGUUACACAUUUGUCUCUACCUUGGAUAGCAUUUAAGUUGGCUUUGGCUUGGCAUAUUAAGUAGAUGACUAUGGAAUUUAAUCUAAUUUGCAGUUGAAAGCCAGAAAGAAACCGUGUCAUGAGUCAUGUUUUCUUUUGAUAAAUACUAUUCCUUUCUAGCAGCAAGUGAAUAAAAAUUAGCAAUUCAGUUCUUAUUUGGGAGGGACUUAUAGAUGCCAACGACGGAGUAGACAUUCUUCGGAGCUGUUCCAAUGUCAGUUGACAAGCUUAAAUGAUGUAUCGAGCCGAUGGAAUCUCUGAAGUCAUCAGGGGUCCUCUUCUUCUGUUUCUUCUUCGCACUUUGAUGUAAUAGGUUGCUUUGCAUAUCAACUUGGGUUUCUGGCUCUGCAAGUCGCAUGAAAUAGGCCGAGUUUUGGAAAAGUUAUUAGGUGACCAGGAUACUUGAGUCGGGAUCGACCAUAUAGUUUGCUCGAACAGAGAGACAUUGGCCUUUGCUAGAAGUGGAUAAACAGCAGCCUUUGGGCCGUUCAUGUGCUUAGGAAGGAGCAAGGCGACCCGAGCGGGGCACCUGUCUUGCAAUUCAAAAUUUAAACCACUCAUCGCUGCUACUGUCGGAUUUGCUCCAUAAGUUGACUUCCGGCCUUAACAUGUCGAAACAGUCUUAAACAUUUGCCAAACGAAAUCAGAGAUCGUGCCACAUCGGGUCAAAUUGGGUGCCCGGUCUUUUCAAAAGGUUAGACCUAACGGGCUUAAUCGAUGCGGAACACACGGGAAUUUCCAGUUUCUGGAUAGACGAUCCGGAUGACUACGUGAUCAAACCCAUCUUAAUCUCCGAUUAUCCUCCUAAAUGUACGUGAUUUCCGUUCCAAGUUCCUACCUUCCAAAUCUACAAACCAAUGGAGAAAAAUCUUUCAACCCAGCCAGGCAACCCAUUAAACUGACCAAAACGCCAUCGAUCCUCCUCGUGGGUCGGGCAAAGAUAGCGGGGCGAGACGAAGGGCAUAGUGGGAAAGAACGGGAAAACAUCUCCUGCUAUAAAUUGGCAGGGCCAUGGCCGAAAACGAGAGAGGAGGAAGGAGGGGUUAGGACUAGGGUUUCGGCACACGCGCUCCAGAGCUCCGAAUGAGGCUCCAAGAAGAAGAAGGAAGCCAGUGAUUUCCGCCUCUGACCCUCUACCCGAACCAACCCCUCCAUCUCUCUCUCUCUCUCUCUCUCUCUCUCUCGCUCGCUCGCUCGCGCUCUGCAAGUCCAUGCCGGGAUCUUCUUGGCUGGACUUGUACUCUCUCUCUCUCUCUCUCUUUGCUGGGUUGUGGGGGUGUGUGUAUGCGAUGACUGAUGGAUAUAUACAUAUAUCUGUUCUCUUUCUUUUCCUUUUUCUUUUGUUCUCUCGAAAUCGCCCCCCGCACCCGCAAGGCGCGGAUCGAACGCCGCGACCUCCGACCCGAACCCCCCACGUUAUAUCUUCUGAGGCUGUGAUGAUCGAUCGCGUUCGCGUUCGCUUUCGCUCAAGUUUGGAAGGAGAGCGCGCGCGUGUGCCAGAGGAAAAGGUCGGGUCGGUGCGCACCUGGAGGGGCCGAGCGAGACCCGCAUUGCUCGCCGUGGCGGGGCGACCCGGACGGCCGGCGAGCCUCUGUUUUCGCCGGCAACCGGCGUUCGCAGCCACGGCGGGGGGCUUCCUGCUCGCUCUCACUCGUCCCUUGCGGUGGUCGGCAUUCGACCCGAGUCCCAAACUUGAUCUGAGCCUAAUGCACGAUCCUUACCCACCUCUCCGUAUUCGCGUUCUCAAAAACCCAUUUUUCGUUUCGAUUAAUUUCUCCAUGCUUUUGCUUUCAUCGUCUGUUCUUCUGUGUUCACUGAGCUUGGUGCAGAAGCCAUUGAUGGGGGAAGAAGUUCCAGCUAAGGAGGCAGGAGCGUGGAGACAAGGCUCUGGGGAAGCUCGAGAGAGGGAAGAUCGAUGCGACCUCGUAAGCCUCACAAGGCCUUAAUUUAAGAGAAAACAGUAGAAUUUGUCCAAUCUUUCCACAUUUGUGUCGUUUCUGGUUGAAAAGAAAGUGUCUUGUAUACGAUUUAUUCAUGACGGUGCUCCCGAAUGAAAAAUGCAGUCUUUCCAUCGAAUUCAAUUGGCAAUCUACAUGAAUCGGCCAGAGUACCCUCCUGCCUGUGGCCUGGUCUCGAAUAUCAAUUUAUGGUACAACGCACUAGGGAACUAAGGGAAUGUUGAGUGGCGAGGAGCGUUGCGCCUGCAGGUUGGGUCCAAUCCAAUUCAUGACUUGAAAUGCACGUUCAAAUGUUGGGGCUCGUCCGCCCAUUUACCCUUUGGGCUUGAGAGAGGCCUAUCAAGCAUCCUCUCUAUGGAUCAUUUCCGAGGACAAAAGUCAAACUUUGAAGGGAUAGUGACAUGAACAGUCGAUCAAAUUUAGUUCAAUAUGUAAUGCUUUUUCUGAAUUUUAAUCUAUGCAUUUAUAAAUUUUGGUUCGAUAUGUAAUCUCAUCUCUAGACUUCCAUUUUGUCCAAUAUAGUUCAUGUUAUAGUGUCCAUGGAACCAUUGGAUCAAUUUUAAGGAACAUAUUGGACAAUUAAAAUGUCACAUUGCACAUUAAAAUUUAUGGAUCAUUCACGUCAUCUUUUCAAAUUAGAAAGAAAAGGCCAGAAGAACAACUAAGCACGGUAGCUCAAUAACAAGGAAAAUGGGUCAUCUAUCUUUUUCAAGAAAGCAUCUUCCUCGUUUCUUUUCUCCAUCCUAGGAAAGCUUGAAUGACAUUACCAAACGGCUUAUCUAAUCCCAUGUGAUUUUCUCAUAUUAUUUGUUCCCAACUUUUCCUUUUCCUUUUCACAAAGCCUAAAGCAAACGGAUAUUCUUUCAUCCACUUAUUUUACCCAUCCAUUUUUGCCCUCCACCGUAGGACGGGCUAAUAUCUUGUCAACAGAUAAAAAGAAGAGGUCAGCUACCAUCAGAAGAGGAGUAAAAUAGUAAAAGAACCUCCCACCAAGGCACUUACUGCCUGAGAUAUAAAAUCCAGCUUUAGGGUUUCGGUCUCCUCCAUCACUCAUUAGUUUAAGAAUGAGGCUCUGCCUCCCGGAGAGGCUCAGGGUGUCCCGGCGGCCGUUGCCGCCUCUCCGGUCGACGGCGGAGCCGGUGAUUUCGCCCGCGCCCUUCGCGGACGCGCUCAUCUCUUCUGAAACAGCCGCUCCUUCCAAAAAAAAAAAAAAAAGAACAAGAACACAAAAGGGAAAUUACCACGAAAAAGUCCUAAACCUAAACCCUCGUCCCAGCGACGACGAUGCUGCUUCUGUUUUCUGAUCUUGAACUGACCCUCCUCGAGUUCGCACGCCCGCACAGCGAUGCACCGAUGGCGAUGCCUGCCCGAUCUUUCCCAGCUUUGCUGGCGAAGCGUUCGGUGGUAAGGCGCUGAGAAAAAAAAGAGGCGAUGAUGAGAUGCGAGCUACGGAAAUGUGAAAGUAACAGGCAUCGAGAACCGACCGUAUCUUGGCGGGGCGGCCAUAGCCGGCACGCAGCCAUGGCGGGGUUCCUCCUACAUUUGCCUGAUCAAAGGCGAAUCUGAGCCUCCCUCUCUCUCUCUCUCUUCCACGAUUCUUGCCCUGGUUUUUUUUUCUCCCUUUCUUUGGUUCUGAG